This 253-nucleotide ribosomal RNA is filed under the name uncultured bacterium. RNAcentral's name for it is "partial 16S ribosomal RNA". It matches the Rfam family "Bacterial small subunit ribosomal RNA", at positions 524 to 776 of the family's 1533-position model. The record is from RNAcentral.
UACGUAGGGUGCAGGCGUUAAUCGGAAUUACUGGGCGUAAAGCGUGCGCAGGCGGUUUGCUAAGACAGGUGUGAAAUCCCCGGGCUUAACCUGGGAACUGCGCUUGUAACUGGCAAGCUAGAGUGUGGCAGAGGGGGGUGGAAUUCCACGUGUAGCAGUGAAAUGCGUAGAGAUGUGGAGGAACACCGAUGGCGAAGGCAGCCCCCUGGGCUAACACUGACGCUCAUGCACGAAAUCGUGGGGAGCAAACAGG